CGCGAAGAACCUUACCAGGUCUUGACAUCCUUUGACCACUCUAGAGAUAGAGCUUCCCCUUCGGGGGCAAAGUGACAGGUGGUGCAUGGUUGUCGUCAGCUCGUGUCGUGAGAUGUUGGGUUAAGUCCCGCAACGAGCGCAACCCUUAUUGUUAGUUGCCAUCAUUUAGUUGGGCACUCUAGCAAGACUGCCGGUGACAAACCGGAGGAAGGUGGGGAUGACGUCAAAUCAUCAUGCCCCUUAUGACCUGGGCUACACACGUGCUACAAUGGGAAGUACAACGAGUCGCGAAGUCGCGAGGCUAAGCUAAUCUCUUAAAGCUUCUCUCAGUUCGGAUUGUAGGCUGCAACUCGCCUACAUGAAGCCGGAAUCGCUAGUAAUCGCGGAUCAGCACGCCGCGGUGAAUACGUUCCCGGGUCUUGUACACACC
RNAcentral lists this ribosomal RNA (430 nucleotides) under uncultured bacterium. RNAcentral describes it as "bacterial SSU rRNA". It matches the Rfam family "Bacterial small subunit ribosomal RNA", at positions 960 to 1391 of the family's 1533-position model. The record is from RNAcentral.